RNAcentral lists this ribosomal RNA (740 nucleotides) under Bacillus sp. VZTF5. RNAcentral describes it as "bacterial SSU rRNA". It matches the Rfam family "Bacterial small subunit ribosomal RNA", at positions 55 to 774 of the family's 1533-position model. The record is from RNAcentral. Lineage: Bacteria; Bacillati; Bacillota; Bacilli; Caryophanales; Bacillaceae.
AUGCAAGUCGAGCGAAUGGAUUAAGAGCUUGCUCUUAUGAAGUUAGCGGCGGACGGGUGAGUAACACGUGGGUAACCUGCCCAUAAGACUGGGAUAACUCCGGGAAACCGGGGCUAAUACCGGAUAACAUUUUGAACCGCAUGGUUCGAAAUUGAAAGGCGGCUUCGGCUGUCACUUAUGGAUGGACCCGCGUCGCAUUAGCUAGUUGGUGAGGUAACGGCUCACCAAGGCAACGAUGCGUAGCCGACCUGAGAGGGUGAUCGGCCACACUGGGACUGAGACACGGCCCAGACUCCUACGGGAGGCAGCAGUAGGGAAUCUUCCGCAAUGGACGAAAGUCUGACGGAGCAACGCCGCGUGAGUGAUGAAGGCUUUCGGGUCGUAAAACUCUGUUGUUAGGGAAGAACAAGUGCUAGUUGAAUAAGCUGGCACCUUGACGGUACCUAACCAGAAAGCCACGGCUAACUACGUGCCAGCAGCCGCGGUAAUACGUAGGUGGCAAGCGUUAUCCGGAAUUAUUGGGCGUAAAGCGCGCGCAGGUGGUUUCUUAAGUCUGAUGUGAAAGCCCACGGCUCAACCGUGGAGGGUCAUUGGAAACUGGGAGACUUGAGUGCAGAAGAGGAAAGUGGAAUUCCAUGUGUAGCGGUGAAAUGCGUAGAGAUAUGGAGGAACACCAGUGGCGAAAGCGACUUUCUGGUCUGUAACUGACACUGAGGCGCGAAAGCGUGGGGGAGCAAACA